UUUAAAUAUAUCUUUGUCCCAGUUAUAUUACAUAUAAGAGGAGUCACAUUGUAAAGUAAAUGCCUCUGAUGUUACCAUGUAAAUUGUCUGUAACGUUAGCUAGCCACUAUUGGUAAAACAUGCUAACGUUAAUUUUCUGCAAAUUGAAGUUGAGCUACGUUUUCCUAAUUUAAACGUAGUGUCAGCGAAAAGCAAAACGGCGAUUGUCAAUGCUUAUCAUUAUUUAACGCUAAUUAUUAGUGUGGAGAGCCACGAUGGCAUGUGCACCCACCCAAUGACUCAGAAUUAACACCUCCACCUGCAGUAUCCAGGCAUGAAGUUCAUCUUCUCUGGCAUCACCCAGAGAUGCAGGUGGAGGGCUGUUGCCAAUCCGGGGAAGAUCGACAAGGCUCGCAGGCAUUUGGACUUGACUGAACAGUGCUGCACAAGUGCUGUAAGCUUUAUAUUUUAAGCUAUAUUUUUAUAUUGUGGUUUGUAAUGUCAACCAUUUCUACUGUAAUUAACAAUGUGGCACUAGUGAUUCAACUACCUCUUUUUAUUAUGCAGACUUCACUUGUGACAGUGAAGUUUACCUUUACCUUGACCCACAGCAGUGAUUUGUGUGGAAUUUACACUGGAUUGUAAAAGGUAAACUACAUUAUUUAAUUCAUCAAUU
Long non-coding RNA from Perca fluviatilis (European perch), 655 nucleotides. RefSeq lists it as uncharacterized. The record is from RefSeq and is a predicted model, not a curated record. Lineage: Eukaryota; Metazoa; Chordata; Actinopteri; Perciformes; Percidae. The transcript is spliced from 3 exons.